Molecule: ribosomal RNA, 426 nt
Filed under: uncultured Clostridium sp.
Lineage: Bacteria; Bacillati; Bacillota; Clostridia; Eubacteriales; Clostridiaceae
Description: bacterial SSU rRNA
Rfam family: Bacterial small subunit ribosomal RNA
Source: RNAcentral
UGGGGAAUAUUGCACAAUGGGGGGAAACCCGUAGAUGCAGCGACGCCGCGUGAGGGAAGAAGGUUUUCGGUAUUGUAAACCUCUGUCUUCGGUGACGAAAACGACGGUAGCCGAGGAGGAAGCCACGGCUAACUACGUGCCAGCAGCCGCGGUAAUACGUAGGUGGCAAGCGUUGUCCGGAAUUACUGGGUGUAAAGGGAGCGUAGGCGGGAAGGCAAGUCGAAUGUCUAAACUAUGGGCUCAACUCAUAGUCGCGUUCGAAACUGCUUUUCUUGAGUGAAGUAGAGGUAAGCGGAAUUCCUAGUGUAGCGGUGAAAUGCGUAAAUAUUAGGAGGAACACCAGUGGCGAAGGCGGCUUACUGGGGCUUUAACUGACGCUGAGGCUCGAAAGCGUGGGUAGCAAACAGGAUUAGAUACCCUGGUAGU